AGAGUUUGAUCCUGGCUCAGAUUGAACGCUGGCGGCAUGCCUAACACAUGCAAGUCGAACGGUAACAGGUCUAAUAUAUCCUUCGGGGUGUUGUGACGCUGACGAGUGGCGGACGGGUGAGUAAUGCUUGGGAAUCUGCCCAGUAGUGGGGGACAACACGAGGAAACUCGUGCUAAUACCGCAUACGUCCUACGGGAGAAAGUGGAGGAUCUUCGGACUUCACGCUACUGGAUGAGCCCAAGUCGGAUUAGCUUGUUGGUGGGGUAAUGGCCUACCAAGGCGACGACCCGUAGCUGGUCUGAGAGGACGAUCAGCCACACUGGGACUGAGACACGGCCCAGACUCCUACGGGAGGCAGCAGUGGGGAAUAUUGGACAAUGGGGGCAACCCUGAUCCAGCAAUGCCGCGUGUGUGAAGAAGGCCUGCGGGUUGUAAAGCACUUUCAGUAGAGAAGAAAAGCUAUCGGUUAAUACCCGAGAGUCUUGACGUAACCUACAGAAGAAGCACCGGCUAACUCCAUGCCAGCAGCCGCGGUAAUACGGAGGGUGCGAGCGUUAAUCGGAAUUACUGGGCGUAAAGCGCGCGUAGGCGGCUAGGUCAGUCGAUUGUGAAAGCCCUGGGCUUAACCUGGGAAUUGCAGUCGAUACUGCUUGGCUAGAGUAUGGGAGAGGGAAGUGGAAUUUCCGGUGUAGCGGUGAAAUGCGUAGAUAUCGGAAGGAACACCAGUGGCGAAGGCGACUUCCUGGCCCAAUACUGACGCUGAGGUGCGAAAGCGUGGGUAGCGAACAGGAUUAGAUACCCUGGUAGUCCACGCCGUAAACGAUGAGAACUAGAUGUCGGGGGGAUUUACCCCUCGGUGUCGCAGCUAACGCGUUUAAGUUCU
RNAcentral lists this ribosomal RNA (883 nucleotides) under uncultured bacterium. RNAcentral's name for it is "bacterial SSU rRNA". It matches the Rfam family "Bacterial small subunit ribosomal RNA", at positions 8 to 868 of the family's 1533-position model. The record is from RNAcentral.